GGUGAGAUGGCCGAGCGGUCUAAGGCGCCAGACUAAGGUUAUUCAAUCUGGUCCUCCGGGGCGUGGGUUCGAAUCCCACUCUCAUCA
Fomitopsis betulina (razor strop fungus) is the source of this 87-nucleotide non-coding RNA. Lineage: Eukaryota; Fungi; Basidiomycota; Agaricomycetes; Polyporales; Fomitopsidaceae. The record is from the annotation of a GenBank genome assembly.